This 488-nucleotide ribosomal RNA is filed under the name uncultured bacterium. RNAcentral describes it as "bacterial SSU rRNA". It matches the Rfam family "Bacterial small subunit ribosomal RNA", at positions 30 to 507 of the family's 1533-position model. The record is from RNAcentral.
AUUGAACGCUGGCGGCAUGCCUAACACAUGCAAGUCGAACGGUAACGCGGAGAGCUUGCUCUCUGGCGACGAGUGGCGGACGGGUGAGUAAUACUUAGGAAUCUGCCCAGUAGUGGGGGACAACAUUCGGAAACGGAUGCUAAUACCGCAUACGCACUACGGUGGAAAGUGGGGGACCUUCGGGCCUCACGCUAUUGGAUGAGCCUAAGUCGGAUUAGCUUGUUGGUAGGGUAAUGGCCUACCAAGGCGACGAUCCGUAGCUGGUCUGAGAGGACGAUCAGCCACACUGGGACUGAGACACGGCCCAGACUCCUACGGGAGGCAGCAGUGGGGAAUAUUGGACAAUGGGGGCAACCCUGAUCCAGCAAUGCCGCGUGUGUGAAGAAGGCCUGCGGGUUGUAAAGCACUUUCAGUAGAGAAGAAAAGCCUAGGGUUAAUACCCCUGAGUCUUGACGUAACCUACAGAAGAAGCACCGGCUAACUCCGUG